This is a long non-coding RNA of Cygnus olor (mute swan), 5058 nucleotides long. RefSeq lists it as uncharacterized. NCBI's taxonomy places the organism in Eukaryota, Metazoa, Chordata, Aves, Anseriformes, Anatidae. The transcript is spliced from 12 exons. The record is from RefSeq and is a predicted model, not a curated record.
CCUGGCCAAAAAUUGCAUAUUGCACAGUGUACAACUGGCUAUCACUGCAUUUGUCGGAUAAAUAGGAAAUGGGAUAUAUUAAUCCAGUAGUGAGCAGGGAGUGCACUUGUUAACUUGUCAGUGGUGGCUAAAAAUAAGUGUUUAGGUCUGAAGUAGCAGUAACAGCUAAAUGUGAGUUAUGACUAUUGUCGUUUUUCAGCUGCUAGGCGAAAGCAACGCCUUGUUUUUGCUGUAUCCCUCAUAUCCUCUGAACAAGUUUUCCAUGGAGCUCAAAGGAACCUUCUACCCAUGCCUUAAAUGUGUGCUUUCUACUCCAGACCUGAAAAAGAAACCAAAUAUCUAUCCUCUAAACUGGAUUUCCAAAGAAUUUCCAAAAACCCAUGUGCUGUCCAAAAAAAAACAACACACCAAACCAAACCAACCAACCAACCAAAAAAAAAAAACAACAGGAAGAGAAACUGCGAGAGAUGGUGAAAUGCAGGCUCUGGAGGAGCUAGCAGGAAUGUCUCCAGCCACUCCUCCUGGGGUACAUUUCACAGGCACUUUUGAACAGUUGGCUUUUGACUUCAAAAGAGAGGGAAACAAAUGAGAAGAAAUGGUUUCAGGAAAGGAGAUCUCUGUCCCUCCGUGCAGCCUGAUCCGCUGAGGCAUCCCGGCAGGGAACAAACGUCCAGCUGGGAAGCCGAAGUGUUGAGCUCCCCAGAAAGAUCUGAAGAGAUGGUUGAUGCAAAGAGCAAAAGUUGCGUGAUGUGAAGGAAGGAAGAAGCCAAAGAAAAGCCAGAGAAGGCUUUUUAGCCUGCAGCUUUCCUCUCCCUUGAUCUGACCUGAAGCACAAGUUGAGGCUCUUGUGAAUCCAUUGGGAUCUGCCCCCUUUUGUGCCGUGCAAGCUGCACGCACGAGCUGAGGUUUGCCUUUCCUGCUGUGCUUUGUGGGGCCAAUCCAAAAUAGCUCAGGGCCAGAUUUCUAAGAAUUCAGCACCGGCAGCCAGGGCCGAGCGAGGAAGUCAAGAGCGAUCUUAAUGUAAUGAGUAGGGCUGGCACAGCUCGCCACGCAGACGUUCCAGAGAGCAGCUCCCUCGCUGGUGCUGCUCCAGCUCUGCCGAUGCCAGGGGAAGGAUGCGAAUUUACAGCCGCUGAGGAUCUGCCACCCUCAGGCUCGCUGCUGGUCAAAACUCCUCCUGGAUGGCACCCAAAUCAGGGUGGGGUUCCCUGCCACUACAGAGCCCAUGCUUCUACCUCUGAGAGGCACUGGCAGGAAGAGAUGAAGGAGUUCAGCCUGCCCAAACUGUCCCGCUUGGGGUGAAGAACUCUGCCCUCUUCUUGGGGAAUUCCUGGCUCUGGAUUGUUGGACCCUCUGCACGAUCCUGCAUUGUGGAGUCCUAUACUGUUAAUGCUUCUAGGCAGUUGAAGCCCAGCAUCCUUUUGUUCUUGGUGCAUGGGAUGUGUGAUGCAUUGACUCAGCCUUUUACUCAAAGUCUGUAUAAGUAGUAAAGCCAGCAGGAGCACCAGACUGCAUGCUUUGGCUAACUUGAAUUGUGUGUGCUAACAUCUGAUCCAGAUUCCUUGUUAAUAGACAUGGAAACAUGGCCUCAUUGUUCAGCUCGCAGAACAAUGAACCUAUAAACGUGGGACAGCAUAAAAUUUUAUAGAAAGAGGUGGAGGGCCAAGAGCAUCUUAAAGCGGAGUGUGCUGAUGGGUCUUGAAAAAGAAGUUCAAGAAGAUAUGUUAAAAGGAUGAGAGGAUGCUGUAGAUUUCUGCAUUUGAUCUGCUGAAUUUCCACCUGAAUUUUGAUCCCAUGGUUCAGGCUGAAGCUUUCCUUACUUCUGCAGAGACUGCCCCCAACAUCAGCAGAUCCACCUGAGCCAUCAGCCAUAUGUGGGCCAACAGUGGGGAAAGUGAUCCUGUACCACCUUUGCAGGCACGUCAUGAAGGUAGAUUUGAUUAUAACGUAUGUGCUUCUGCCUCUUCGGAGGAAGGCAUCUGGGUUGCAGUACCAGAGCCAUGGGAAAAGCUUUGCUCAAGCAAGCAAGCAGAGUGCCCAUCUCGAGUCUCUGGAGAACUGGGGUCUGACGUUGCAAACCCUUCUGCCCAAGUGGGUGAGCACCCCGUGCACCCAAGGUCCCGUCAUACACAAGAGAGAGUGAAGCAUGGGAUGUCCUCAGAUGUGCUGCCUUUCUGCAGUUUCUCUUCUUCCUUCUUCAAAUGAAUUUAGCUCAGGAGCAGUUCUAGAUGUGAUCCUGACCUCAGGAGAGACACUUAAAUGUAAAGACGAAGGAAACUCCAGGCUGGGCCCAGUCCUGUAUUUCAGGAGAGGCUUGUUUCUGCUCAAGCACAAAUCUGGUGAGACAAGUUUUUUUCCCAAGGCAGGUUGUUUGCAAACUUUGGAGCCCAAAAGGUGCAGCUGCUCUAAAAAUAACACAGAAUACAAGAACUGGUUUGGGAAGGUUUCACUCUGCCCAAGUCCAGAGGCAUCUCCUGAAAUGCUGCCAUUAGGGGAGAAGUUUGCCUUGUAAACAGAGCCGGCCUAAUUUCUAGAGGUGCUGAACGUCGACCUGCAGUGCCCGCUGGUAAGUCUUGAGCACAAGAAACCUGGAAACGGGGCAAUUUUUAGUGGCCGGGAUUUUAUCAGGAACGCGUCUGGGCAAAUCCAUGAUGACUGCGUUGAAAGAAGAGAACACUAAUUGCCCCUCAGCUAGCGACCACCGCAAGCAGAGCUGGGCACCCGGGCUCCAGGAGACCUGCCAGCUCCUGGGCUUCUUGCUGCCACCGACAAAGUAAGACUUCACUCACAGUCAUGGGCUGUACGUGCAUGAAUCACCUUCUUGUCUGGCCAUUCUUUGCAGGGUGACAUCCCCAGUGACCUGGUGCCCAGCUUCCAGAGGAGGCCAGCAGCCUUGCUGUCCAGGUGCAGAAGCCCCUGGAAGGUUUUUCGCGGAGAUCAACGAGGGAGAAACCUGGCUGCAGAGCCCUGAGCACAGCUGGGACUGAUCACAGGCGAGAACCUCAGCAGUGCCCCCUCGCCCACGCUAGAUGUGAUGCUGGGUGAGGUGUGCCUUGCACAGAGCAUAGACGUAACCUUCUCUAUUUUUGAUUUGCUGGAUCUUUAAAACAUACAAGGUUGUAUCUACCACUGAAUUAAGCAGUGUUUGCUUUUCAAACCUUCCACAUUUGUAUUUUUAGCUCCAUUUUGGCAUUGACUUUUUUGGUUGGAAUAUAUAACACACUCAGUUAUUUAGCGUGCCUGGACCGAAUUCAGCCUAUGUGUAACUCCAUGGGCUUGAGCAGAAGCUACGUUCAAGGUAAAUUACUCUCUAUGGGGCUAAGGAAAUACAGCUUCUGUAGAAAUGCAUUUCAGCUCCUUCAGUAAAUGCUACACUAUUUCCAUCCAUGGUUAUUCCGUUGUGGUUUGGGUUAUGUAUUUACAUUUUACGGAAUAAAUACUACAGCUUUCCCCAUGACUAACACUUCUUAGUAACCAAUAAGCUACUCAAAUACGCUGUUGCCUCCUACAAGAGCCUAAACCACAUCGCUCUCCACUGGCUUUCUGUCCCCAGCUGGCCACCUCCUUGCACAGAGGCAUGGUUAACCAGCAUUACAUAAGUAACUUUUUGGAUCUCGCUUUAACGGGACGGCUUCCUAGAGGAGGCACUGGAUGCUGUGGGACUGAAUUCCUCAGCGACAAACAUUUCCAACGCAGCCGCUGUCUGAUCCUACCAAAAUCUGACUGAGGUCUUCAGGCGAGGAGAGUAACAUCUUGCUGCUGCUCCCACAAAGAGGCAGCGAGUUGCUUUUCCAUAUCCAGAGGUCUGUUUUAAGAGCAGUGUUGUACAGGCCCUUGCGUAAACUUUGCUUUUAGACUGGAAUAUUUUCAAUGAAAAUGUUAUUCGACUUUAAAAAGUUGCACAGCAGCUACUCCAAAAAUUGUUUUCCCUUGUUAAGAAUAACACACAGUGUGAUACAUUUGAAAUGGUGAUAGCAAUAUUUCACAAAUUUUGAUGGAUUCAUAGUCCAAAUACCUUGCUAACAGAUGUUUCUUUUAAACUCGGAGUGGUAUAGGAAUAACUCAGAGAUACUACAGUGUCAGCACUGCCUUUUAUCUGCGUGUGUCCUCUCAGUGACAUCCCUGCGCUUUUGUAAUGCACGGGUCAGGUCUGAGCUAAAAAAAAAAAAAAAAAAGUGAAAUAUUAAAGGAAGUCCUAUCUGCUGGCUGUGUGAGCUUUGGGGCAGUGCCUCAGGGCUGUGAGGAAGCUGACGCGCGCUGCCCCGCUCUCGCUCUGUGCUUGGGCACGGCGGCCUGGUGGUUUGUGGGACUCUGCUGCUUUCCACUCAUCAUUUCUCAGCUGGCUCUUGGUUGUGGUUCAUCUAUGAACUGCGGAGUCCCCAUGGCCAACCCUCUGACCGUAUCUUUUGGUCUUACGAUUUUACUAACCUUUCCCUCUGUGGAUGAUACCUUGUCCAACCCAGAGGGAUACCUCAGCAAGGCAAAGGAAUGGUAUUUUAACACCCUGGCAGAGCUCUCCCUUCUUUAUCACAGGGUUGUUUCACUCUGCCUCUUGUCAUUUUGUAGCAUCCUGUCCUCUCCCAGGAGCUGCCUCCUCCAUGCCUUGCUCACAGCGUGCCCAGUUGAUGUGUGACAGACCCCUCUGUCCCCAGACCCCAUCAGGGAACAACCUUGAGCCCUGGGACGCCUGGCUUACACUCUUAACCCAAAAUCUGGCUCUGCGAAGCAAUCUUUGGUAAUGCUGGAGUUGAGCUGUGCGACAGGAGCAUCCUUCCUCCAGGUGAGCCUGUUGGUAGCCCUCCGUGGCCACGUGCAGCCCGUGCUGGCUUGAGAAGGUGCCUGCCUCGUGUCCUUGUGGGGUCAAGGAACGUGGCCUGGUGGGAAGUGUGCAGCCAGCCUCAUUCUUGCUGCCCGGGGGGGAACAGGGAAGAGAAGGGAGAGAAAAUCCAGAGGGCAGGUGGGGACCGAAGGCAGGGAUAAUCUGUGGGCCUGCCGGCGGGCUGCAGCCCCGCGUGUCCCCAGGGGAGCCUCGCUGUGCCCAAAGGGUGCAAGAAGGGG